Molecule: RNA transcript, 7919 nt
Organism: Cuculus canorus (common cuckoo)
Lineage: Eukaryota; Metazoa; Chordata; Aves; Cuculiformes; Cuculidae
Gene name: methylenetetrahydrofolate dehydrogenase (NADP+ dependent) 2 like
Exons: 9
Source: RefSeq, a predicted model, not a curated record
UGGAAGAAGAAUCCAAGUUGUUCUAUUUAUUGAUAAGCAAAACCUUUAUUUUUUACUACAAAGAUAUUUAUUUCUACAUUGUAUUUAUUUUUUCAUGUAAAGCACACUGAACCUGAUAGUUUACAGAACAUCACAAUUCUUUGUGUUACCUCCUACUGACUUAACUGUGAGCAAAACUGGACUGGAGAACGCAGGCUGUGCAGGUAUGCUGUCGGGAGUCACUUACGUGUGUGGAAAUGAUACUGAAGCAGAAAUUACAGAUCUGCCUGCAUGUCUGGGGUGCAAUUACCAACAUGUAUUAAUUGCUUGGGGCCCUCAAACUGUAUAAAAACUGAGUUGCAACGUGCUAGAUAUUGUUUAAAAUCGUGGUUUGGAUUCUGAGGUUGUGAGCUGCUCUCAGUGUAGCUUGAAGUCUUAAAAUGCUUGUUUUAAACACUUAGCAGCAGCAGUCCUGCACGUGAAAGGGGUGAAAAACUGUCAACCCUGUUUCAGCUGCCAGGCUGUAACGUUGACACGAAUGCACAUGUUCAGUACACACUUUAAAACAGUUGAAUAAGCUUGAACAGCGAUGAAAUUCUGACCUCAAACAUAUGCAAGAGGUGAAGUAGCUGGAACGGAGGCCAGAGUUUAUUUUCUCUCUGUGUCUGGAUUUGUUUGAUGAUGUUUUGGUGCAUAAUACCCUCCUCCCACAAAAAAACCUGAACAGAUGCCUAAGCUGGAUUGGGAGUUAAUUAGUUAAAUGCAAUUAAAACUACUGUGUGUAUACCUUGUGUGUGAUGGAGGUGGGGAGAGGAGGAGAAAAGCAAAAGUUUAUCCCUGGUGAAAUAUUUGUGCUGGAAUUUUAAGCCAUUUAAUUAUUCUGUUGUUUUCUGGAACUGCAUGAAGGAGCCUGUUCUGGUUCAUGAUAUAAGGCUCAGCCAUGUGAAUCCCUGGCUACCAUGUUUGCUGCUUAGACAGGACUCUGUGAGAUAAUAAGAUCAGCAUGUUUCUAUUCCCAGAAAAAUUAGUUCUGAGAUGGAUCUAGAACAGUCCCAUGCAAUGUCGAAGCUGUGGUGGGGUGGCUGCUGAGAUGCCCGUUGGACUGAGUAUGUGCACUAUUGACAUGAAUAGCCUUCCCCGGUUCCCACUGGAGCCAGCUUGGACUUUUAUCCUCAUGUUUACCUCAGCUGGCAUAACUUGGAUUAUUUUCAGCAGGAACCUUAGCAAUUUGCUAGGGGACUGUAGAUAACUUGGAAGGGGAAGAAGAAAACAAUUGUGAGUGAAGUACUACUGCCAUGAAACACAAAAACAUGCUUGACAUAAUAAAGGAAACAAGCUGGAGCAUCACUGCUGUGCUGGUGGUUCUUGUGAUGGACUGCGUGAGAGCUUUGUUUAACGCAAUACUUACAAAAGCAGCUGAUGGAGUUGUUACUAAAUCUGCAGGGCCAACAGUUCAGCUGGCAGUUCAGUUCUGGGCCCCUCACUACAAGGACAUGGAAGGGAUGAAGCAUGACUGGAGAAGGGAGUGGAGCUGGGCGAGGGACUGGAGAACAAGGGUUCUGAGAAGCGGCUGAGGGACCUGCUGUUGUUUAGCCUGGAGAAAAGGAGGCUGAGGCCUCAUCACUGCAUCCCUGAAAGGAGAUUUUAAUGAGUUGGGUGCUGGUCUCUUCUCCCAAGUAACUGGUGAUAGUGCGAGAGUGAAUGGCCUCAAGUUGUGCCAGGGCAGGUUCAGGUUGGACCUCAGGAAAAAUCUUCUCCCUGCAAGAGUUCUCAGGCCCUGGCAGAGGCUGCCCAGCGAGGUGGUGCAGUCCCCAUCCCUGGGGGGGAUUAGCAGACAGGCAGACGAGGUGCUCAGGCAUGGUUUAGUAGUGGACAGGUAUGGUUGGACUUGAUGAUCUCAAAGGUCUUCUCCAACCAAACGAUUCUAUGAUUCUGUGAGCAGUGCAGACACUUGCUUAGCUGUGCAAGUGGAAGCGGCGGUAUAGAUAUUAGGAGGGUCAGGGUGCCUGCGGAGAUGAUACUUGGGCUGAUCCACCCGUCACUUACUGAGGUGAAUAAAACUUGUUCUCUGUUAUGUUAGCCUUGGUGAGAAAUGUCAAUACAGUUUUGGUGUGGCUGUGGCUUUUUUCCUCAGUGUGAAGUCAGUGGAGGGCUUUUGCAUGGUCACUGCUUUCCUUCAUCUCUUUGCAUUGCCGCUCUAGAUUCACGUUGUUUUCUUUAAAUUAACCAUAAUCUGCAUUUUUUUUUUAGCAGAAUAACAAUGUAUGGUGUGUUGUCUUUGCCACAGGACUGAGCCUACCUCUUUCAUGUUCUGCAGAGAGUUCAUUGUGCACCUCGAGCUUUUUCUCUCUUUGCCUGUGGCGGAUGGGUCAGUGCUACACAAAGCCCAGCGAGCACAAGGUUUCUCUCUGUUCUCAGAGCUGCCAGCCCCAUCUGUGAGAGUGUGCUCCACUGGGAGAACAUCCAGCCCAAGCAUCCAGAGGGGAAGGGCCCAUUAACCCAACCCAAAAGCGUGCUUGUGUGGCAGACCCGGUCAAGCCUGGUCCGAGCGUGAACGCCCUGUGGCGGGCAGGGGCAUGGCCGUAUCCACCGAGGCCUUCUCACAAGGCCUGCCGCGCCCAGCUGCGUUGCCUGAUGACAAAACCACCUCUCGGAUUCAAGCUGGAUUAAGCUCCCAUUGUGUAGAUGUGUGUUGAAAGCCAGGCUCCCGGGGCUUAGCCCUGCUCGGAACUGAUAGCAGGGGUUAUCCAGGUAGACAUAAACUGGAGAGUGCGCAAGCUGCCCUCGAUCAGUGUGCAGGCAUGCAGCAGUGCGGGAUUGCGAAGGAACGGAAAAGCCUCCUGGCAUGCAGUUCAGGAGCAGGAGCACACAUAAUUAGAAAGUGCAUAAUUAGCUUGUGUUCUUCCCUUACAUGUGAAGUGGUUAGGUUGAAUCCAAGAGAUUCCUGCAGAAUGGGAGAACUUGAGCUGACCAGAGUCGCCAGAGCAUUUAUCACAAGAUGUUUGGUUUAAAAACAAUAAUUGUGAACUAGUUUUGUUGCUUGGAGCUCACUGCUGAGGAGACGCAGGUUGUUGCUAGGGUGAAGCCUGUGCUCUCCUUCGGCGAGAGUUGAGUGGUUGGCGAGUGUGUCCGUUAUGGAACAGGGCCUUUCUGGUGCUCCACUCCAGUCUGGCUACAACAGUGCCCUUCAGAGAGACCGGUCCUGCUGGUUCCGCACUGCCUGUGGCUGAGGGAGCCAGAUGACAUCUGGGGCUGUGCAGAGGGGGUCAGUACAAGACAUGCAGGUGACAGGUACGUCUGAGACCUGCCAGCACUCCACAAGUGUCACUGCUUUCAUUAUCCAUACCCACUUCCUCCAACAGAGACAGAGGGGCUAUUAUGUCAGGAGGAAUGAAGGGAGCACCCAAAAUAGGAGGCAGCAGCUUACCUGUUCCUUCAGUCCUUUUCUCGGUGCCUGUGCCUCACGCAGUUGUGCAUAGCUCCUACCUACAGUCCCAGGCCGUGCACUGGGCUGGUGGCCAGCGCUUCUCUGGAGUGUGGUGCACACAGGAAGGCUGGAUGGGAAGUGAUGAGCGUGUCCCUUGGGCUCGCUGGAGCCUGGGAUCAGAGACCUCUUGCUGGCAGUCAGUGCUGGAGAACAGCAUCCCUUAUCAUUGUCUCCGAUCACUUCUUACUCUCAGCAUUGGCUGUUCUGGCAGUUCCUAUGGAGGGCAGGGAGCUGAGGUACGGGGAGAAUCAGGGAAGGAACACAAGCAGAGCAGGAGCUGGUUAGGGACCCUGAACUCCAGAGAAGCAUCCCAAAUGCCGAUGGUCCUCUAGAGAGUAACACAACACCUACAUUACUAGGGGAAAGGAAGAUCCGUUUUUUUUGCAACACAUCAUCUUUUGGUUUGCUCACACCGCUUUGCUGUAUUUCGUUGAUCAGCCCUGGCAGAUAACAGGUCUCUCCUUAAAACUGUACUUUUGCGUGCACGAUUCUGCCCACGGGUAAUAGGAAGCCGGGGUUUCAAAAGAAAACCUGAUGCCAUUGCCAGAUAAUAGCAGUUUCCUAAAUAAAUGUGUGGUUGCCCUGGGGGCUGAGGUGGUUGCCAGAUGCACCUUUUCUUGAUUGGUGAGAACGGCAGAUGACGCUUCCUGGCGUAUAAAGUGCACGAGAAACCACGGGAGCACAGAUAAGGAGAGCAAGCGUCUGGAAAGAAGAGCUGAGAAGGUGUUGAAGCUGCUGUUUGCCAUGGCAUUUGGAAUGCUAAUCUAUGUUUUGCUGAAAGCGAUGGGGGCAGUGAGUGAAGAGUCAGCUGUUGCUGUAUCAUCCCUCAGCACAGACUUGUGGAAUAACUGGACAAAAAACAGCGCUGAAGCAGACUACACAGAGCAGCCGAAACUCUUGAAGCUUAUGCAGGCCUGUCUGGAAGAGCACUACAGCUAUUGCAUCAACGGGCUCUGCGCUUUUCACAGCGAGCUGAGGAGACCCAUAUGCAAGUGCCUUGCAGGUUACAAUGGAGAGAGGUGUGAACAUCUAACACUAAAUUCGUAUGCGCACACUUCGUACGAACGCUACAUUGCUGUGGGAAUAGGCAUAGGAAUACUGACAAGUGGGAUACUGGCUAUCAUCUACUGCUACGUAAGAAAGAGAUGCAGGAAAUUGAAGUCACCCUACAAAGUCUGCACAGGCGAGACGGCGUUGUGAAGGGCUGGCGAUGGGACACUUACUAAUUUGCCUGUCACCGAGAGGAAGUUCCGCUGGGAAGGCAGUCCCCCUCUGAGCCAUCUGACAGGGACCCCAGCUUCACAGAAGAGGUGAAAUGAAGGGAAUGACAGAGCGAGUACGCGAAAGGAACUCCUGCAGAGCUGGUGGGCUCCGCUCACUUCUGAAGAAAGACUUCCUCUUUUAGCACAGUUUGCUGGAUGAGCAGGUCCGAACGGCUAAGGAUAUCCGCAGCCCUCUCGGCGCUCACCUGUGGCAGAUAUUUGCUGAGGGCAGGACUGUUUGGCUUUGGCUGUUUUCAGUCAUUUCAAGCCCUAGUACAGCAUUCUGCUCGUGUCUUUUCUGUUGGGUUCCCCCCCCUUUUCUUUUUUUCUUUCCUCUGGAGGAAAAGCACAACCUGCCUCACCAUGGAGUUGUGUUCUGAACAUCACUGGCUGACAAGAAACUGUCUGGGUUCUGGUGUCAGUGUCUGCUGCCUCUGUGUGUGGACAAACAGCUCUGUUCCAGCGCAGCAGUUACCUUCAGUACACUAAGCAAAGUACAGCCGUCUGUCGCCAGAAAGGACAAAAACAUUAAAUGCUUUGGACUGAGGAGAAUGGAGGGUUCUCAAGAGCUUACUGGAACUUAGGAACAGGGAGUAAGCAGUUCCUGGAAAAGCAGAUCCUGGCACCUCUGGGCACGCCACGUUCUUGCGAAGGAAUUGAACAGCUUUCUCAAAAUGGGUUAUUGAGUGUGCCCAUGACAAAGCACUGUGCUCUUCCCAAACAUCGUGUAGAGGCUCAAUGGACUGAUGAACUCGAGGCACAACGUUCCCUUUCUGUGCUGUGAUUUUGGCACAAGACUCCAUUUGCUGGAGGAGGCGGAAGUUCGUUAUGGAACUUCAGUACAGCUUUCCCAGGAAGCCGAUUCUCUCUAUUCCAUUCUCACAUUAUGUGCACAAUGUGACACUCAAAUAAGAAAGAAAUGAUUGCAGGGAUUUUGUUCCUCUCUGGACAGAUUCCAGGUGAGGAGCUGGUUUUGAUUAAUAUUGUGUAUGAUGAAUUGCAAAGGGUAAAGGACUUUGUUCAAGGAAAAGGGAAGAAAAUUGGUUCUGAAGGCAGUGGCACUACUGUGACUUCUCACUGACAGCCAGCGUGUUUGCCAGGGAUGAGACUGGGGGUGGCUCUGAGAUGUUCACUUCAGCUCUUGCGCAUUGUAGACGCAUUCGCUGUGAUUCAUCAUCUCUGAGAAAAAGGCAGUUAGGUACUUGGUGAUUUUGUGAGACGAUACCAGCUCCUGAAUUCAGGUGCCGUGCUGGAAAUCACAAUUUCUUCCUUAAGGGAAUUAACUCUAACAACAGGAUGCAUGCCAUUUGUGGAAAAAAAACCAGUGUAUUUGUGAGGCUGCAAUGAUAGUGCUGAAAUGCAUGUGAAAGAUGGGGUUUGGAAGGGAAAAAGUGGCACUCAAAUGGUCUGAAGCAAGUGGGCUUCUCGCUCAGGGGGAUCCUGGUCAGUAGAUGAGUCAUCUUGGCUCUCUGUUUGAUACCAAUAAAUAAAACACCCCACGUGCUGUUUGGUUGGAGUCCCCAUGCAGCAGAAUGAAGCAAGACAUGCGUGCCCAGGAAGGAUUGCUGGUGAGGAGCUCGGCAGAGACAGGCACCAGUCCUUUCCUGAGCGCUUUGUGAGGGGCACUGAGCUGACUUUCCAACCCUGAGCCUUUUUUUGAAGUUCUCUUCACUUCAAGUUAAGUCUUCAGAUCUCUCUCUGUUAUUUGCUCCUUUCCAUUCUUCUGACUUUUUCUCGCUCGGCAUCCAUUGAGAGACAGCUUCUGCUUUUUGUGAUUUUCAGGUCGUCUUUUAGUAGACUUUUAGUAGCUGCCCUAAUAAUUCCUGUGUCAUGCGUAUGUGUCACGAUAUGAAAUACAGUCCGCGCAUCUGCACACAGACACCGAACCCCACCCUUGCGCCUCGCACACACUGCACAGAUGGAAUGGAAAUACCUGCUAGAAGCAUGCCUGUCAUCAGGAAAACACAGGGACAGAUCUUUCUCAUGAGUCUCGGAGGAAAUUUGAGAGUUAGAUAGGCCAAAAGAUGAAAAGCCUCAAAGCUUCUGUUGCAAGAGUGAAUUUCCUUCCUUCAGUGAGUUGUCUCUUCCUGCACACGCAUUGCAAGUGUUGUGUUCACUUCUAGAGGACCAACCCUUCUGCACCAUAGAGGAGCAGGCACACACGGUAACGUGACUUGCCUAGGGCAUCCGUGCGGUUGGUAAAGGAGUUCUAAAGACAGGAGUUUGAACCACUGGACUUUCAGCUAUCCAAAGAAAGCUGUCAGGGAGAGAUGGAUUUUGUUUGGUUUAAACCAUUUCUGUGUCCUUUUACUGACUUUUUGGCCACCUUUUACUUACCAGUGGCUGAGCAGAUGCCUCACAAGAUGUUUAAGUGCUGCAUCAAAGUGUGUGCUCCUUGCAGUGAGAUGCUCUGUGCCUACAGAAACACACAGUGACUGCCUUUUCGUAAUGUCUGGUUAAACAUAACUGGAAAGGAAGGUUGAUUUCAAGGCCACUAUUUAGCAGGAGAUUAAGUAGUGAAAUAUUUUUUCUAGUUUGCUUUCUGCCAGUGGAAGCUUGCUGAGAUUCUGCUAGUGGAAGAGAAACUGGAGAGUCAAACACCAGAUGACAGUGUGCCACACAAAAUGAGACUUCGUGUAAGGGCAGGGUGAGAAUAAAGUGGAAAAACAAAGAUGGGAAGAAGGAAGGAAAAGCAUGUCUUUGCUUUACUGUAAUUUUCUUUUCCCAAGUGGUAUCGAGGCUUCCAGAAAUGAGUUUCUCGCCACCUGGCUGCUGUGGAUGCACAACGCGGAGCAGGCUUCUGGCUUCUCAGAUAUCCAAGGCUGGUGGCACCAGUACAAGUGACAGCUUCUCCAUCAGGCUGUAGUCCCUGUGAGAGAAAGGCAAUGUCAGCGCAGUUUGAAGCACCAGCCUUGCAGGUGGAAGACACAGGAGAGGGCAGCGAUGGAGAGCCCACAGAUGGGACCCGCUACUGUGGUUGGAGCCUGACAGGAGCCGCACCUCCACACUGCUGACCUAAGGAAAUGCUCCCACUAUAAGCAGUACGAUUUGUUACCUAUUGCAAAUGGUCCUGGGCACAACAGUGAUCCCACUCUGCGGGCCUGGGGAGAUGGAGAACUGCACAACAGCGCUAAUCCAGACAGAGAACAGUCCACGUGUGGCUCAGGUUGGGAUAACGAGAUGCAAGCCUG